Molecule: ribosomal RNA, 497 nt
Filed under: uncultured bacterium
Lineage: Bacteria
Description: partial 16S ribosomal RNA
Rfam family: Bacterial small subunit ribosomal RNA
Source: RNAcentral
GAUGAACGCUGGCGGCGUGCCUAAUACAUGCAAGUCGAGCGAACGGACGAGAAGCUUGCUUCUCUGAUGUUAGCGGCGGACGGGUGAGUAACACGUGGAUAACCUACCUAUAAGACUGGGAUAACUUCGGGAAACCGGAGCUAAUACCGGAUAAUAUUUUGAACCGCAUGGUUCAAAAGUGAAAGACGGUCUUGCUGUCACUUAUAGAUGGAUCCGCGCUGCAUUAGCUAGUUGGUAAGGUAACGGCUUACCAAGGCAACGAUGCAUAGCCGACCUGAGAGGGUGGUCGGCCACACUGGCACUGAGACACGGUCCAGACUCCUACGGGAGGCAGCAGUAGGGAAUCUUCCGCAAUGGGCGAAAGCCUGACGGUGCAACGCCGCGUGAGUGAUGAUGGUCUUCGGAUCGUAAAACUCUGUUAUUAGGGAAGAACAUAUGUGUAAGUAACUGUGCACAUCUUGACGGUACCUAAUCAGAAAGCCACGGCUAACUACGUG